This 492-nucleotide ribosomal RNA is filed under the name uncultured bacterium. RNAcentral's name for it is "partial 16S ribosomal RNA". It matches the Rfam family "Bacterial small subunit ribosomal RNA", at positions 29 to 507 of the family's 1533-position model. The record is from RNAcentral.
AGUGAACGCUGGCGGUAGGCCUAACACAUGCAAGUCGAACGGCAGCACAGUAAGAGCUUGCUCUUACGGGUGGCGAGUGGCGGACGGGUGAGGAAUACAUCGGAAUCUACUUUUUCGUGGGGGAUAACGUAGGGAAACUUACGCUAAUACCGCAUACGACCUACGGGUGAAAGCAGGGGAUCUUCGGACCUUGCGCGAUUGAAUGAGCCGAUGUCGGAUUAGCUAGUUGGCGGGGUAAAGGCCCACCAAGGCGACGAUCCGUAGCUGGUCUGAGAGGAUGAUCACCCACACUGGAACUGGGACACGGUCCGGCCUCCUACGGGGGGCAGCAGUGGGGAUUAUUGGCCAUUGGGCGCAAGCCUGAUCCAGCCAUACCGCGUGGGUGAAGCAGGCCUUCGGGUUGUAAAGCCCUUUUGCUGGGAAAGAAAAGCAGCAGGUUAAUACCCCGCUGUUCUGACGGUACCCAAAGAAUAAGCACCGGCUAACUUCGUG